RNAcentral lists this ribosomal RNA (253 nucleotides) under uncultured bacterium. RNAcentral's name for it is "partial 16S ribosomal RNA". It matches the Rfam family "Bacterial small subunit ribosomal RNA", at positions 524 to 776 of the family's 1533-position model. The record is from RNAcentral.
CACGUAGGGCGCAAGCGUUGUCCGGAAUUAUUGGGCGUAAAGAGCUCGUAGGCGGUUUGUCGCGUCUGCUGUGAAAACGCGAGGCUCAACCUCGCGCCUGCAGUGGGUACGGGCAGACUAGAGUGCGGUAGGGGAGACUGGAAUUCCUGGUGUAGCGGUGAAAUGCGCAGAUAUCAGGAGGAACACCAGUGGCGAAGGCGGUUCUCUGGGCAUUACCUGACGCUGAGGAGCGAAAGUGUGGGGAGCGAACAGG